GCGGCCUCCCGGCAGGCGGACCUCCACCGGGUGGGCGCGGCAGGCGGGCUGUGCGGGCAGGAAGAGCGACGAGCUUGAGAGUGGGAGAUGGGGUGCAACGGCGGGCCUCUCCGGGAAGGUGACACUGCCGCUGAGACCCAAAUGGAAGGGCGCGCCCGGCGGGGGAACAGCAGGCGCCGAGGUGGACCCAGGGGCAGCUGCGGCUGGUCCAUGUGGAGCUCCUUCAAGCCGAAGCAUCCGACACCAGUGUCUGUGAGGUGUGGGCCCGGCCCCUGGAGCGGGGCCUGGGCAGCCCCGUGUGAUGAGGAAGGAAGGCAGGGCCCCCGCUCCCCGGGCCUGACCCCACUGCUUCAGCCCCCUCCUGCCUGCCUACAGCCUGGCCUCGAGGGCCCAUCAGAUGGAGUCUCACUCUGUCGCCCAGACUGGAGUGCAAUGGCGUGAUCUCGGCUCACUGCAAGCUCCGCCUUCCCGGUUCAUGCCAUUCUCUUGCCUCAGCCUCCUGAGUAGCUGGGACUACAGGUGCCCACCACCACACCUG
Molecule: long non-coding RNA, 538 nt
Filed under: Pan troglodytes (chimpanzee)
Lineage: Eukaryota; Metazoa; Chordata; Mammalia; Primates; Hominidae
Description: lincRNA
Rfam family: mir-940 microRNA precursor family (bases 253-346)
Source: RNAcentral